This 83-nucleotide transfer RNA is filed under the name Candidatus Syntropharchaeum butanivorans. RNAcentral describes it as "tRNA-Ser". It matches the Rfam family "tRNA". From Rfam's summary of the family: Transfer RNA (tRNA) molecules are approximately 80 nucleotides in length. Their secondary structure includes four short double-helical elements and three loops (D, anti-codon, and T loops). Lineage: Archaea; Methanobacteriati; Halobacteriota; Candidatus Syntropharchaeia; Candidatus Syntropharchaeales. The record is from RNAcentral.
GCCGGGAUGGUCGAGUGGUAAGGCGCAGGCCUGGAGAGCCUGUGGGGAUUAUCCCCUCAAGGGUUCAAAUCCCUUUCCCGGCG